RNAcentral lists this unclassified non-coding RNA (336 nucleotides) under soil metagenome. RNAcentral's name for it is "partial contains 5.8S ribosomal RNA, internal transcribed spacer 2, and large subunit ribosomal RNA". The stretch from base 1 to 120 matches the Rfam family "5.8S ribosomal RNA", at positions 35 to 154 of the family's 154-position model. The record is from RNAcentral.
GAUGAAGAACGUAGCGAAAUGCGAUAAGUAAUGUGAUUUGCAGAAUUCAGUGAAUCAUCGAAUCUUUGAACGCACAUUGCGCCCGCCAGUAUUCUGGCGGGCAUGCCUGUUCGAGCGUCAUUUCAACCAUCAAGCCCCCGGCUUGUGUUGGGGACCUGCGGCUGCCGCAGGCCCUGAAAAGCAGUGGCGGGCUCGCUGUCACACCGAGCGUAGUAGCAUACAUCUCGCUCUGGGCGUGCUGCGGGUUCCGGCCGUUAAACCACCUUCAUAACCCAAGGUUGACCUCGGAUCAGGUAGGAAGACCCGCUGAACUUAAGCAUAUCAAUAAGCGGAGGA